GUCGAGGGGCAUCAGGGAUUAGCAAUAAUCCGCUGGCGACCGGCGCACGGGUGAGUAACACGUAUUCAACCUUCCGAUAACUCGGGGAUAGCCUUUCGAAAGAAAGAUUAAUACUCGAUAGUAUAUUUUCUUCGCAUGUUGAAAAUAUUAAAGAAUUUCGGUUAUCGAUGGGAAUGCGUUCCAUUAGGCAGUUGGCGGGGUAACGGCCCACCAAACCUACGAUGGAUAGGGGUUCUGAGAGGAAGGUCCCCCACAUUGGAACUGAGACACGGUCCAAACUCCUACGGGAGGCAGCAGUGAGGAAUAUUGGUCAAUGGACGCAAGUCUGAACCAGCCAAGUAGCGUGAAGGAUGACUGCCCUAUGGGUUGUAAACUUCUUUUAUAUGGGAAUAAAGUGCGCCACGUGUGGUGUUUUGUAUGUACCAUUAUGAAUAAGCAUCGGCUAACUCCGUGCCAGCAGCCGCGGUAAUACGGAGGGUGCGAGCGUUAAUCGGAAUUACUGGGCGUAAAGCGCGCGUAGGUGGUUUGGUAAGUCAGAUGUGAAAGCCCCGGGCUUAACCUGGGAAUUGCUUCUGAUACUGCUGGACUAGAGUACGGUAG
RNAcentral lists this ribosomal RNA (600 nucleotides) under uncultured bacterium. RNAcentral describes it as "bacterial SSU rRNA". It matches the Rfam family "Bacterial small subunit ribosomal RNA", at positions 61 to 654 of the family's 1533-position model. The record is from RNAcentral.